AUUGAACGCUGGCGGCAGGCCUAACACAUGCAAGUCGAGCGGAUGAAGGGAGCUUGCUCCUGGAUUCAGCGGCGGACGGGUGAGUAAUGCCUAGGAAUCUGCCUGGUAGUGGGGGAUAACGUCCGGAAACGGGCGCUAAUACCGCAUACGUCCUGAGGGAGAAAGUGGGGGAUCUUCGGACCUCACGCUAUCAGAUGAGCCUAGGUCGGAUUAGCUAGUUGGUGGGGUAAAGGCCUACCAAGGCGACGAUCCGUAACUGGUCUGAGAGGAUGAUCAGUCACACUGGAACUGAGACACGGUCCAGACUCCUACGGUACGCAGCAGUGGGGAAUAUUGGACAAUGGGCGAAAGCCUGAUCCAGCCAUGCCGCGUGUGUGAAGAAGGUCUUCGGAUUGUAAAGCACUUUAAGUUGGGAGGAAGGGCAGUAAGUUAAUACCUUGCUGUUUUGACGUUACCAACAGAAUAAGCACCGGCUAACUUCGUG
Molecule: ribosomal RNA, 484 nt
Filed under: uncultured bacterium
Lineage: Bacteria
Description: partial 16S ribosomal RNA
Rfam family: Bacterial small subunit ribosomal RNA
Source: RNAcentral